GACCAGACUCCUACGGGAGGCAGCAGUGGGGAAUAUUGCACAAUGGGGGAAACCCUGAUGCAGCGACGCCGCGUGAGUGAAGAAGUAUUUCGGUAUGUAAAGCUCUAUCAGCAGGGAAGAAAAUGACGGUACCUGACUAAGAAGCCCCGGCUAACUACGUGCCAGCAGCCGCGGUAAUACGUAGGGGGCAAGCGUUAUCCGGAUUUACUGGGUGUAAAGGGAGCGUAGACGGCAUGGCAAGUCAGAUGUGAAAGCCCGGGGCUCAACCCCGGGACUGCAUUUGAAACUGUCAGGCUGGAGUGCAGGAGAGGUAAGUGGAAUUCCUAGUGUAGCGGUGAAAUGCGUAGAUAUUAGGAGGAACACCGGUGGCGAAGGCGGCUUACUGGACUGUAACUGACGUUGAGGCUCGAAAGCGUGGGGAGCAAACAGGAUUAGAUACCCCGGUA
Molecule: ribosomal RNA, 446 nt
Filed under: uncultured bacterium
Lineage: Bacteria
Description: bacterial SSU rRNA
Rfam family: Bacterial small subunit ribosomal RNA
Source: RNAcentral